AUUAUCCUGCGAUGCGCGUAAGCAUGUGAUAUGUUUUUGAACCUUACUGUUUUUUCGGGACUUCAAAUCGGUUCGUUGACGCCAGGCCCACUCUUUUGACUGGGAUUGCGAACAUACGUAACAUGAGGGGACCCACCUGCGAGAGCGGGUUCGAAAAACAGACAUGCGACGGCAAAGCGGGGCGUAC
Molecule: non-coding RNA, 187 nt
Filed under: Ammoniphilus oxalaticus
Lineage: Bacteria; Bacillati; Bacillota; Bacilli; Caryophanales; Paenibacillaceae
Description: 6S / SsrS RNA
Rfam family: 6S / SsrS RNA
About the family: E. coli 6S RNA was the first non coding RNA to be sequenced, but its function was unknown until recently. It consists of 184 nucleotides that fold into an extended hairpin structure with a large single-stranded internal bulge. The 6S RNA specifically associates with RNA polymerase holoenzyme containing the sigma70 specificity factor.
Source: Rfam by way of RNAcentral